This is a long non-coding RNA of Zalophus californianus (California sea lion), 1268 nucleotides long. RefSeq lists it as uncharacterized. The transcript has 3 exons. NCBI's taxonomy places the organism in Eukaryota, Metazoa, Chordata, Mammalia, Carnivora, Otariidae. The record is from RefSeq and is a predicted model, not a curated record.
AUGUAGCGAAGAAGCUCGCCAGACGCAGUAACAUAUUUCCUUUUCCCUCAGAUUACCACCCAAGAUACAGCUGGGCUGUUCUAGUUCCUGCGACAGGGAAAGAUCCCACCCUGGCUUGGAUGGAAUAACCUACAUGAGGUGGCGCUCGGCGUACACCCGAGGGAGGCCGUAAAUCCGCGGUCCCACGUGACUUUCGGGGUUUCGCUUCCCGGGCCCGAGUCCGACGGGUGAUGGUUAUGGUGGGGUGCGUUUGGAACUAGCCCGUGAAUUAAGUUUGUGGUGUGCUCCCGCGUUCCGAAGGUGCUUGCAGAGGUCGUUAGUAGGACCCGCGCUUCUCUCCCUUGAAUUUUUCUGGAAGUAACCCUGCUUUGGGUUCCCCCGGGGAAACGAAGAAGCCACGUGGUUGAGUUUCUGCUCCGCCACCCACCUAGUGUGAGCGGCCAAAACACCGAAAGCGGCCUCCCGCUUUGCAGCCAGAGCUGUACUCCGUCUACCUCUGUCCCACUUUCCCAACCUGUCUUUUCCGAAUUUCUUGCUAUUUCAAUCAGCGAUAGCAGCAGUCAACGCCACCACUACAGAGAAUCAAAGACGAGCUGGGUUGGAAAUGCGUCUGGUCCGCUCCCACCCCCACUUUACAGAAUGUUGCUGUGGAACUUAAGGACCUGAGGCUUGUCGCUUCAAGAUUGGCAGUAAUGGCAGGGCAGAGGGGAGUCACUCGGUGACUCUGCCACACCAGCGUUCCGUGUGUUUACAAAGAAAUAUCUGGAUUCUCCAAAGCACUUGUGGGUCAUUUUUGAGAAUCCCUUAAGCACCUAAUUCGACUGGAAUGCAGUAAAUGCUAGAGAAAAUUUAAAGGAGGAGAACCCAAAAAACUUCCCGAAUGAAGUUUCCAAAAAUCACUUGAGGUAAUUCGUAAAAAGAAACAAAAAUCAGUAGUUACACGGUAUCACUUCUUCCUAAAUAUUUUUUCAUGAAUUUUUAAAAUCCAUAACGCAAGUAAAAAUUGUGGAAAUAAAAUAUGUGGAUAUCUAGAGGGGGGAAUUACCCUCCCUCACCCAGCAAGGUUCUGAACUUUUCCUUUGCUCCGAUCCCCCUUUAAAGGUCGCCCUUCUCGAAGUGGAACGUCCAGCCGACCCGACCCUGCCCCCUGGGAGGUACAGACUGAGCCUGCCUGGACGGGACAUAUCCCCACCUCCCGGAACAUCGACCCCUGUCAACAGGAGGCGCGAGACCGGGAAACCUGAAGGGCCACCCGCACGUGUCGUUUU